AAUAGAUACCCGGUAGUCCACGCGUAAACGAUGAGUGCUAAGUGUUAGAGGGUUUCCGCCCUUUAGUGCUGCAGCUAACGCAUUAAGCACUCCGCCUGGGGAGUACGGCCGCAAGGCUGAAACUCAAAGGAAUUGACGGGGGCCCGCACAAGCGGUGGAGCAUGUGGUUUAAUUCGAAGCAACGCGAAGAACCUUACCAGGUCUUGACAUCCUCUGCCAACCCUAGAGAUAGGGCGUUCCCCUUCGGGGGACAGAGUGACAGGUGGUGCAUGGUUGUCGUCAGCUCGUGUCGUGAGAUGUUGGGUUAAGUCCCGCAACGAGCGCAACCCUUGAUCUUAGUUGCCAGCAUUCAGUUGGGCACUCUAAGGUGACUGCCGGUGACAAACCGGAGGAAGGUGGGGAUGACGUCAAAUCAUCAUGCCCCUUAUGACCUGGGCUACACACGUGCUACAAUGGAUGGUACAAAGAGCUGCGAACCCGCGAGGGUAAGCGAAUCUCAUAAAGCCAUUCUCAGUUCGGAUUGUAGG
This 527-nucleotide ribosomal RNA is filed under the name uncultured bacterium. Its description in RNAcentral is "bacterial SSU rRNA". It matches the Rfam family "Bacterial small subunit ribosomal RNA", at positions 777 to 1304 of the family's 1533-position model. The record is from RNAcentral.